Molecule: long non-coding RNA, 11183 nt
Filed under: Gossypium barbadense (sea-island cotton)
Lineage: Eukaryota; Viridiplantae; Streptophyta; Magnoliopsida; Malvales; Malvaceae
Description: long non-coding RNA (GBAR_LNC011767)
Source: RNAcentral
CAGAAUCAAAAUCCCUAACUCACCUCCACCUCCACCGACAGCACUGCUCACCAGUCACCAGUCACCAGUCACCAGUCACCAGUCACCACAUUCAUCUCCACCUUCCACCUGCUUCCUCUGUCGUCGGCGCCCACCUGAUUUCCUCAACCGAGUCAGGUAAGAAAUAUCAUUUUCACUUUCUUUUUGUUUGGUCACUGAGAAAAUGAAGGAAAGUUUUGGUUCUGUUUUAUAUUCCCCUGCUUUAUUCACUCUGUUUAAAUACAAAAAAUGGGGAGAGGAGAUAGCUAAGUGCAUGACAUAAAUAGCAUAGAAAGGAAAUGGCAUGGGUUGAAACAUAAGUUCUUUUUUGUAGUUAAAUUGAUAAGUGAGAAUUAAUAAAACGAUAUUUUAAGAAAUAUGAUUUGAUUCAUGAAAAAGGUUGAAAUAUGGAUAGGUUUUUAAACAUCUUUGUUGGUUUGCUGGCUUCUUAUACAGCUUCCUUCAGAUUCGAAGAAAUGGGUAAUAAAAACAUAAAAUGAAUAAACAAAAAACACAAUACUAAAUUAUCUUUUGAGAUUAUAUUUAUGUUUUUUUGGGGUUUUUAAUAUUACUUUUAAUAAUUUUAGGUGUUAAAAGGGUGUUCUGUUCUUUCAAUGUAUGUUUUUUGGACACUAGCAUGAUCCAAAAAGUUGCCUCUCUUCAUAUAUAUAUAUAUGUAUAUAUUUUUUCCUUUAUUUUCCCUUCCUCUUACUUUCUUCUUAUUCUUCUUCUUUGUGCGCUAAUGAUUUUUUUAUCUGCUUCUGUGUCGGCCAAUGAGUAAUUUAUUGAUUGAAUCCUUGAAAGAAAUUGCACACCCAAAGAAGAUUCAUCAUUGUUUUCCUUCUUUUUUUCCCCUAGAUAUCCUCUUUGGGUCUUUAUAGGAGGAGAAUUUGGAGGAAGUUCUGAUUACAGGAACUUUGUGUGUUGUUAGUUGCUCAGAGUUUUUGGGGUUUCUUUAUGGGGUCAAAGAGACUGUAAGAUUAGUAGAGAACUCUUUUUUUUGGGGUGUGUACGUUUAGUUUCUGGGUUUCUUUUUUCCCUGUUUUUAAUGAAUCUUAAUUUUUGUAGUAAAGUUUUGAUGGUGAACUCAAAACAUGGUGAAUUGAACAGUUGUCUCUUUUCUUUUCUUUUUUUCUCUCUUUUAGUUUCUGAUUUUUUUACCAUUAUUUUAUGUUGAAAAUUUGCAAAAGUACAAAUGUUUGUACCCUUUUUUGGAAGUAUUAUGGGUAGCAAUAAAGAAAAGUAAUCAGGAGAGGAAUCGGGUGCCUGAUUACAGUGUUGCUCAAUAAUUUGAAGCCAUUGUGGGAGAGGAUGGAACCAACUAAGGAAAGUAAAGAAAUUUUGUUGUUCUGGUUCAAUGUUUCCUUUAAUGGCUUUUUUUAAGUAAUAAAGGAUAUCAUGGGUGUCGAACUGUAUGGCAAUAUGGUAGAGAUGGUUGAAGUACCAUAAAAAUCAUUUUAAUUCAUUUGGUUGUUUAACAAAUCUAAACCUUAUUGGGUGUACGAAAGGAUAAUACGGAUAAAUACCCCAAGGUUUAAGAAUAAGUCCCCCAAAAUUCUUGAAAACUUGAAUCUGAUACUCAAACAUCAUGUCUCUAGCUUUCUGAUGAAAAUAAUUUCUUUUUACAAGAGUAAAAACUUCUGGAGGAUAUUUAGGAUAGAGAUUAGGAGUGACAGUGUAAGGGGUAAGAGAGGUAGAUGAUGAGGAAUAGGGUCGAUACAUCAUAAUUGGUCUAGGCCAAAAAAUUCUUUUAUAGGCGAAGACUUCUAGAUUUUCUUUGGGUCUAGAAAGUAGAUCAACAAGAACAUUUUGCUUUCCAGGUAUAUGUUUGACAUCAAAACUAUAUUCAGAAAACCAUUCUGCCCAUCUUAAAAGUUGUAGGUGAGGGACAGUUUUCUGUUUGAACUUGAGCAUUUGUGGAAAUGAAGACAUAUCCAUUUCUACCAAAAAAUGAUAACCUAGAAGAUAGAAUUUGAAUUUUGCCAUACCUUUCUUGACUGCAAGGAUCUCUUUGAAUGUGGAGUGGUAAUGAAUUUCUAGUUCUGAGAAUCUUCCACUCUUGUAUCCAUAGAGUUGUCUUUUGUCAUUUCUUUUUUCAAGCAAGAUUGCUCCCCAAUAUUUAUCACUGGCGUGUGUCUGUAGAAUUUUUUCUCCAUCUGAGGGGAUUUGAAGUGGAGGCAAAUCCUGGGUAAUUUCUUUCAAUUUUUGGAGGGCUUUUGUCUGAGAAGAAGACUAUGGAGGAGGGUCUUUUUUGAGUAGCUUUUGCAGGGGAUUAAUAUACUUAGAAACUUUAGGGAUAAAAUCUCUAAGAUAAUUAACAAUCCGAAUGAAUUGUUGGACCUGCUUGAAAGACAAAUCUUUUGAAGGAAAUUUAAGAAGUUCUUGAGUAAUGUGUGGUCCUGGAGAAUAUUUUCCUUCUUUGAUAUCCAUUCUGAGAAACUGAAUUUCUGAUUUGUUGAUCUGCAUUUUUUUUCUGACAGCAUUAUCCCAUAUUUGAAAAUAAGGGAUUUGAAUUCUUCAAGGAGUUAUGCAUGAGAAUCCACAUCUUUGCUGUAGAGCAGAAUGUCGUCGAUGUAUACUAAAGCAUUUUCCAUCAAAGGAUGAAAAAUCUUUAUCAUUGCUUUCUGGAAUAGAGAAGGAGCAAUCUUUAAUCCAAACGACAUGACUUUCCACUGAAAAUGUCCAUUAGGAAUACAAAAUCCUGUUUUUGGUCUGUCAUCAGGAUGAAUUCCUAAUUGCCAAAAACCUGCCUUGAGAUCAAACUUAGAGAAAACUCUUGCUUUGGCUAGACUUGAGAAGAGUAAGUCUUUCUUUGGAAGAGGAAAUUUGUCAUCUUAGAGGAAAUGAUUAAGAGGCUGAUAAUUAAUUACCAGUCUUAACUUUCCUCUGAUCUGUUCAGAUCUUUUAUUUACAUAAAAGGCUUCACAUGCCUAUUGAGAAUCUGAGGGUUUAGUCAAAUCUUGAUGCAGUAACUCUUUACAUUCCUUUUCUGCUAGCAUCAGAUGAUCUGGAUUCAUUCCCUGGUGGCUGGCCUUUGUUGGAUUGAUGUCUUUAUUUUUCUUGAAAGGGAGUUUAAUGAAGAAAUCUAGGUUUUUCCACAAAGGGUUUGAGCAUUUAUUCAGGAAUUCAGAAUGAGAUUCUGCACAAGAUUGGGCUUUUAAUUCUUGGAUAAUGUGAAGGAUUUUUUAGGUUAAAUGACAAAGUUUUGGGAUUCUAACAAAGGGUUGGAAAAGAUUUUGAAUCUUACUCAUUCAGGGAGUAUUCUAAGAUGCUGUGCUUUUUUGUAGAGGUCAAAGCCUACUACAAUAUCUUUUCCAAGGAGUUUUGAUCCCAAUACUGUGGUUUUCACACAACAGCUUGGGAAGAAUUGGAUAGUAAUUGGUUUGCUUAUCAUAUGAGUAGCAAAAGAAACAUCAGCAGCAGAAUCAAAAUACCUUAUGUGGGGUUUCCACCAUUCUGGAGGUAAAAUGUCUGCGUUCAUGAUUGUUUCUGCUGCGCCGGUGUCUAUGAAGGCAAUUAUAGUAAUGGGCUUACUAUAUUUGUCUAAAUAGAUCUUGACAGGUACAUGAGGAACUGGGACUGUGUUAAUGGUCCUGUCAAUAGUCUGAGUUUUGGCUUAUAUCAUCUGUAUAUCGGAAUAGUCCGAUUCUGGUUCUGAAGAAUCACAAGCAGGGAUGGCACAAAUCGUCUUGUCUGAUGGUUCAUCUUUAAUGGAGCAGACAGAUUCAAUAUCAUCAUUUUCUUGAACCUUUACUCCUGAUUGUUUUACUAUUUGUGCAAUCUUCUUGGCUUGUUUCUUGUUCUUUGGACAAUUUUUUGAAAAAUGUCCCUUUUGGUUACAGAUGUAGCAACUGUCAGAUUUUGUUGACUUUCUUUUUUUCUUAAGAUAUCUCCAUCAAUGCCUUACUUUCUUUCUUCUUCUUGAAAUUGGAAAAGAAGAAUGUUUUUUUGAAAUGUUUCUUCUUCUUUGUGCGGCAAUCACACAGAUGGUCCUUUGGGCAUUUGUACUUCAAGUGGGAAUCAUCGCAGGCUCUAUCAAUUCUUUUGUCACCAUGGAGAUAAUCUUUGAAAAUCAUUCUUCUGUUGCAGAUAUCUUCUAGAGCAACGAAGACUUCUUGUUGGAGUUCUCCAACAGUGAUCUGAAGAAUAUCUUUGUUCUGUGUCUGGAGGGCUUAAUUAACUGCAACUUAGAUUGGAUUUGGAAGAGAUGAGAGGAUAACUGGCUUGAGUUUUGGAUUUAGUCCCAAAGCAUAAUAUAGCUUGGUCAUUAUUUUGAAAUGUUUCUCCAAAUCUCUCUUGACAUACGAAUAACAUUUUCUUUUGUAGAAUUCUCUUCUUUUUAAUGUCAGCAAAUCUUGAGGGUUUCUCACAAAAUGUUGAUGUAUGAUUCUGAUUGGCUAGGCCAGAUCUUGAAGAACUAGAAACUGCAUUUGGUCAUGCUGAUUAAUGAAAUUCCACCAAUCUCUCAACAUUCAUGUAAAUCUAGAGACAAACUCCAUAAGAAUGUCGUAAUUGCCAUCUUCUGUAAGCUUGUGAGUUUCUAACCAAGAAUGAAAUUCUUGAAUUCUGUCUGGCCAUUUUGCUGGUGGCAAAUCAUCUAUAGUGAAAGUGGUUUUUCCUAUGGAAGACUUUGGAAUUUGUCUCUGAUCUGCAGAAGAUGAUUCUGGCAUGUCUUGCAUUUCAUCAUCACUUGGUUCUUCAACUUUAGUUGUUUGAAAUGCUUUCUGCAAUUCUUCAUCUUCUAAUUCCGUUUUUUCAUUCGAUGAGUAUUCAGACUCUUUAAAUGAUUCAUCUGAUGAAUCUGAACUUUCUCCUGAAUCAGCUUCAGAACAUGAUUCUGGGUUUUGUAUAGUUGAGAUCUUAGGAAUAGAAGAUUUUAUAUAAUCCUUUAAAAAUUUUGUUAAAGGAUUUUGAUCUUCAUGUUGAAUCAUUAGAGAUUUUGAGACUUUCUUUGGAGGAGGAGAUUUCGGUGGAGACUCCUCUGAGACUGGUCUUUUUUCCAGUUUUUUCUCCAUCUGAUAUGCUUUACUUUCACUGUCUGUUUUGGCUUCUUCAGUAGCCAUUUUCUUUUUUUCUGCUUCUUGUUUUUUUAUUUCCAGAAAAAUUUUAUACGUACUUGGUUUGGUAUGUUUUGAAACUUCUGGAAAGGUUACUCGUACUCCUUCUACUCAAGGUGGAUUCUUCUGUCUAAUAGAGGGAAACAAUUCAAUUGUUUCUACUCUAUGAGUUAGUCCAGGGAUUUUCCCUGUUUCUUGAAGAGUCUUGAUUUGUUCUUUCAAUUUUUGAAUUUCUUUCUCUUUGUGCAAGAUGAGAGAAGAAAUCUUGUCUUGGUGCUGCUGGUUGUUUAGCUACUGCGUCCAAUCUUUUUUGUAAAAGUUGGAUCAGAUCUCUGACCAUCUUGGUGUUUUCAUCUAACUUGGUUUCAACAAUUGAGAUCUUUGAAUCAAUUCUUUUUAGAACAUGAUUCUGAGCAAUAGCAUUUUCUGUUUGCCAAUUGAGAGGAGCUUCUGCAGCACUUAUUUUGGAUGGUGCACCCGAAAUAUCAGUCUGAAUCUUUGAAGGGAUUUUUGGUGCAUGAGUAUAACUCUUUUCAGAGUAUUCUUCAAGAGGUGGGAAAUCUUUAUCAUAUGAUGCUGUAGGUUGCAUCAUACACAGUGGAAAUUGGUUUUUGUGGAGCAAGAAAGUCUGGGUUCUUCUUAACCCAUUUGUUUAUUUUCUUGUAACAGGGCUGAGGAAAAGGUUUUGAUUUCUUGAGGAUUUUUGCAGGAGACUGAGUGGAUAAUUUUGGAGGAGGAGGAGAGGGAGGUUUACAAGGUUCAGGUGGAACCUGUCUAUUUGGUAAAGAUUUGUGGGAUGAAUAAUCAACAAGGUAAACAUAUUUACCAUUAUCCUCUCUAAGUGGUCCAAUGUCUGGAUCUCCAUCCAUCCACCUUUUGUAAAACUCGUCCUGAGUUGAAUUUUUCUUUUUCUAUUUCUUUUUUCCCGACUCUGAUGCAGUUUUGUCCAUGCUAUCAACCCAAGCGGCCAAUCUGUCAUCUGUGCAUAAUUCACAUGAACAGUUUAAAGCCCAAGGACAAUGUCCAGUAACAGGGUCUUUAAACAUGUAUAAAGGUUUUCCAUCUGCGGAAAAACUUUUUAUUAGGCUUCUUUUUGGGCCGGGUUCACACAAUGGACAACAAUAGUCUAGAUCAUCUUGAUCAUGAAGUUGUGCUGGUUCUUCGUUUGGUUGUAUCAUCAACUGGGUUGGGAAAAUGUUGGGAUUUUUAGAGCUGUGAAGAUGACUAUGAUCAAACUUGAUUUCAGUCGUUCCAAGACUUCAUUUUCAAGAGAUUUAUGAAUCCAGGAUGUAGGAAAAGAACUGAGCUGGGUUGUUUUUCCACAUUUGACAAAGUAUUGAGGCUUAUAAAAGAUUAUAAUCAUAAAACUUCCAUAAUUACCUCUUGCCUGAUUACAGUGUUGCUCAAUAAUUUGAAGCCAUUGUGGGAGAGGAUGGAACCAACUAAGGAAAGGAAAGAAAUUUUAUUGUUCUAGUUCCAUGUUUCUUGUGAUGCCUUUUUUCAAGUAAUAAACGAGAUCAAGGGUGUCGAACUGUAUGGCAAUAUGGUAAAGAUGGGUGAAGUACCAUAAAAACCAUUUUAAUUCAUUUGGUUUAACAAAUCUAAACCUUAUUGGGUGUAUGAAAGGAUAAUCUGGAUGAAUACCCCAAGGUUUAAGAAUAAGUCCCCCAAAAUUCUUAAAAACUUGAAUCUGAUACUCAAACAUCAUGUCUUUAGCUUUCUGAUGAAAACAGUUUCUUUCUACAAGAGUAAAAACUUCUGGAGGAUAUUCAGGAUGGAGAUUAGGAGUGAUAGUGUAAGGGGUAGGAGAGGUAGAUGAUGAGGAAUAGGGCCGAUACAUCAUAAUUGGUCUAGGCCAAAAAAUUCUUUUAUAGGCGAAGACUUCUGGAAUUUCUUUGGGUCUAGAAAGUAGAUCAGCAAGAACAUUUUGCUUUCUUGGUAUAUGUUUGACAUCAAAACUAUAUUCAGAAAACCAUUCUGCCCAUAUUAAGAGUUUUGGGUGAGGGACAGUUUUCUGUUUGAACUUGAGCAUUUGUGGAAAUGAAGAUAUCCAUUUCUACCAAAAAGUGAUAACCCAGCAGAUGGAAUUUGAAUUUUGCCAUACCUUUCUUGACUGCAAGGAUCUCUUUGAAUGUGGAGUGGUAAUGAAUUCUGCUUCUGAUAAUCUCCCACUCUUGUAUCCACAGAAUUGUCUUUUGUCAUUUCUUUUUUCAAGCAAGAUUGCUCUCCAAUAUUUAUCACUGGCAUCUGUCUGUAGAAUUCUUUCUCCAUCUGAGGGGAUUUAAAGUGGAGGCAAAUUUUGGGUAAUUUCCUUCAAUUUUUGGAGGGCUUUUGUCUAGGAAGAAGACCAUGGAGGAGGGUCUAUUUUAAGUAGCUUUUGCAGGAGAUUAAUAUACUUAGAAACUUUAGGGAUAAAAUCUCUAAGAUAAUUAACAAUCCCAAUGAAUUGUUGGACCUGCUUGAAAGAUAAAUCUUUUGAAGGAAAUUUGAGAAGUUCUUAAGCAAUGUGUGGUCCUGGAGAAUAUUUUCCUUCUUUGAUAUCCUUUUCGAGAAACUGAAUUUCUAAUUUGUUGAUCUGUAUUUUUCUUUCUGACAGCAUUAUCCCAUAUUUGAAAAUAAGGGAUUUGAAUUCUUCAAGGAGUUCUGCAUGAGAAUCCUUAUCUUUGCUAUAGAGCAGAAUGUCGUCAAUGUAUACUAAAGCAUUUUCCAUCAAAGGAUGAAAAAUAUUUAUCAUUGCAUUCUGGAAUAGAGAAGGAGCAGUCUUUAAUCCAAACGGCAUGACUUUCCACUAAAAAUGUCCAUUAGGAAUACAAAAUCCUGUUUUUGGUCAGUCAUCAGGAUGAAUUCCUAAUUGCCAAAAACCUGCCUUGAGAUCAAACUUAGAAAAAACUCUUGCUUUGGCUAGAUUUGAGAAGAGUAAGUCUUUCUUUGGAUGAGGAAAUUUGUCAUCUUGGAGGAAAUGAUUAAGAGGCUUUUAAUUAAUUACUGAUCUUAACUUUCCUUUGAUUUGUUCAGAUCUUUUAUUUACAUAAAAGGCUUCACAUGCCCAUUGAGAAUCUGAGGGUUCAAUCAAAUCUUGAUGCUGUAACUGUUUACAUUCUUUUUCUGCUAGCAUCAGAUGAUCUGGAUUCAUUCCCUGGUGGCUGGCCUUUGUUGGAUUGAUGUCUUCAUUUUUCUUGAAAGGGAGUUUAAUGAAGAAAUCUGGGUUUUUCUACAAAGGAUUUGAGCAUUUAUUCAGGAAUUCAGAAUGAGAUUCUGCACAAGAUUGGGCUUUUAAUUCCUGGAUAAUGUGAAGGAUUUUUUUAGGUUGGAUGAAAAAAAGUUUUGGGAUUCUGUCAAAGGGUUGGAAAAGAUUUUUGAAUCUUACUCCUUCAGGGAGUAUUCUAAGAUGCUGGGCUUUUUUGUAGAGGUCAAAGCCUACUACAAUAUAUUUUCCAGGGAGUUUUGAUCCCAAUACUGCGGUUUUCACACAACAGCUUGGAAAGAAUUGGAUAGUAAUUAGUUUGCUUAUCACAUGAGUAGCAAAAGAAACAUCAGUAGCAGAAUCAAAAUACUUUGUGGGGUUUUCACCAUUCUUGAGGUAAAACGUCUGGGUUCAUGAUGGUUUCUGCUGCGCCGGUGUCUAUGAAGGCAAUUAUAGUAAUGGGCUUACUAUUGUCUAAAUAGAUUUUGACAGGUACAUGAGGAACUAGGACUGUGUUAAUGUUCUGUCAAUAGUCUGAGCUUUGGCUUGUAUCAUCUGUAUAUCGGAAUAGUCCAAUUCUGGUUCUGAAGAAUCAAAAGCAGGGAUGGCACAAAUCGUCUUGUCUGAUGGUUCACCUUCAAUGGAGCAGACAGAUUCAAUAUCAUCAUUUUCUUGAAUCUUUACUCCUGAUUGUUUUACUAUUUGUGCAAUUUUCUUGGCUUAUUUUUUGUUCUUUGGAUAAUUUUUUGAAAAAUGUCCCUUUUGGUUACAGAUGUAACAAUGGUCAGAUUUUGUUGACUUUCUUUUCUUCUUAAGAUAUCUCCAUCGAGGUCUUACUUUCUUUCUUCUUCUUGAAGUUGGAAAAGAAGAUUGUUUUUUGAAAUGUUUCUUCUUCUUUGUGCGGCAAUUACACAGAUGGUCCUUUAGGCAUUUGUACUUCAAGUGGGAAUCAUCGCAGGCUCUAUCAAUUUUUUUCUCACCAUAGAGAUAAUCUUUGAAUAUCAUUCUUCUGUUGCAGAUAUCUUCUAGAGCAACAAAGACUUCUUGUUGGAGUUCUCCAACAGUGAUCUGAAGAAUAUCUUUGUUCUGUGUCUGGAGGGCUUGAUUAACUGCAACUUGGAUUAGAUUUGGAAGAGAUGAGAGGAUAAUUGGCUUGAGAUUUGGAUUUAGUCCUAAAGCACAAUAUAGCUUGGUCAUUAUUUUGAAAUGUUUUUCUAAAUCUCUUUUAACAUACGAACAACAUUUUCUUUUGUAGAAUUCCCUUCUUUUUAAUUUUAGCAAAUCUUGAGGGUUUCCCACAAAAUGUUGAUGUAUGAUUCUGAUUGUCUGGGCCAGAUCUUGAAGAACUAGAAACUGCAUUUGGUCAUGCUGAUUAAUGGAAUUCCACCAAUCUCUCAACAUUUCUGUAAAUCUGGAGAGAAACUCUAUAAGAAUGUUGUAAUUGCUAUCUUCAGUAAGCUUGCGAGUUUCUAACCAAGAAUGAAAUUCUUAAAUUCUGUCUGGCCAUUUUGGUGGCGGCAAAUCAUCUAUAGUGAAAGUGGUUCUUCCUAUGGAAGACUUUGGCAUUUGCCUCUGAUGUGCAGAAGAUAAUUCUGGCAUGUCUUGCAUUUCAUCAUCAUUUGAUUUUUCAACUUUAGUUUUUUGAAAUGCUUUUUGUAAUCCUUCAUCUUCUGAUUCUAUUUUUUCGUCUGAUGAGGAUUCAGACUCUUUAGAUGAUUCAUCUGAACUUUCUCCUGAAUCAGCUUCAGAACAUGAUUCUGGGUUCAGAACACGAUUCUAGGUUUUGUAUAGUUGAGAUCUUAGGAAUAGAAGAUUUUGUAUAAUCCUUUAAAAAUUUUGUUAAAGGGUUUUGAUCUUCUUGCUGAAUCAUUAGAGAUUUCGAGACUUGCUUUGGAGGAGGAGAUUUUGGUGGAGAUUCCUCUGAUACUUGUAUUUUUCCCAAUUUUUUCUCCAUCUGAUAUACUUCAAUUUCACUGUCUGUUUUGGCUUCUUCAGUAGCCUUUUUCUUCUUUUCUGCUUCUUGUUUUUUGAUUUCUAGAAAAAUUUCAUACGUACUUGGUUUGGUACAUUUUGGAACUUCUGGAAAGGUUAUUCGUACUCCUUUUGCUAGGGGUGGAUUCUUCUGUCUGAUAGAGGGAAACAAUUCAGGAGAAAGUUCAGAUUCAUCAGAUGAAUCAUCUAAAGAGUCUGAAUCCUCAUCAGACGAAAAAAUAGAAUCAGAAGAUGAAGAAUUGUAGAAAGCAUUUUAAACAACUAAAGUUGAAGAACCAAGUGAUGAUGAAAUGUAAGACAUGCCAGAAUCAUCUUCUGCACAUCAGAGACAAAUGCUAAAGUCUUCCAUAGGAAGAACUACUUUCACUAUAGAUGAUUUGCCGCCACCAAAAUGGCCAGACAGAAUUCAAGAAUUUCAUUAGAACAACAAAAUUUCUUUACUUUCCUUAGUUGGUUUCAUCCUCUCCCACAAUGGCUUCAAAUUAUUGAGCAACACUAUAAUCAGGCAAGAGGUAAUUAUGGAAGUUAUAUGAUUAUAAUCUUCUAUAAGCCUCAAUACUUUGUCAAAUGUGAAAAAGUAACCCAACUCAAUUCCUUCCCUACAUCCUGGAUUCAUAAAUAUCUUGAAAAUGAAGUCUUUAAAUAUGAUGUUCAAUAUCGAGAAGUACAAAAGUUUCUCUGCCAGCUCAAUAGGAUUAUUCCAUUUGAGAUAUGUCCACCUCCAGAUAUUGAUGCACCAUGGGACACCUGGCCAAAGACACACACACCUCAUCAUGAAGCAGUCCUAAAAGCUCUCCGUGAAUAUCAUGAUGGAAUCUCUGACCCCACAGAAUGUCUCAAGAUUACCCGUGGUAAUAUAGUCAAAUCAGUCUUGCUAAGAUAGAAUUGCAUGAUGAAAAGGAGAAAGCAAAAGACGAAGAAAUAACCUGCUG